Molecule: non-coding RNA, 73 nt
Organism: Ectocarpus siliculosus
Lineage: Eukaryota; Phaeophyceae; Ectocarpales; Ectocarpaceae
Source: Rfam
GGGUCCGUAGGCUAAUGGAUAAGCCGCUGCCCUUCGAAGGCAGAUAUUGUCGGUUCGAGUCCGGCCGGACUCG